GAUGAAGAACGCAGCGAAAUGCGAUAAGUAAUGUGAAUUGCUGAAUUCAGUGAAUCAUCGAAUCUUUGAACGCACCUUGCGCUCCUUGGUAUUCUGAGGAGCAUGCCUGUUUGAGUGUCAUUAAAUUCUCAACUACACUGACUUUGAAUUGGUGUGGCUUGGAUUUGGGGGGAAAAUUGUUGUGGGCUUUUUGUAUAGUCUGCUCCCCUGAAAUUGAUUAGCGGUACCUUUGUGGAACUGUCUACAGGUGUGAUAAUUAUCUACAUCUUAGACAUCUGCUGGAAUGCUGCUUUCUAAACCUUACUUGUAUUGACAAUCUUGACCUCAAAUCAGGUAGGACUACCCGCUGAACUUAAGCAUAUCAAUAAGCGGAGGA
Molecule: unclassified non-coding RNA, 376 nt
Filed under: soil metagenome
Description: partial contains 5.8S ribosomal RNA, internal transcribed spacer 2, and large subunit ribosomal RNA
Rfam family: 5.8S ribosomal RNA (bases 1-120)
Source: RNAcentral